CUGGCGGCGUGCCUAAUACAUGCAAGUCGAACGGUCUUUCUAUGGAAGCUUGCUUCCACUGAGAAGAUAGUGGCGAACGGGUGAGUAACACGUGGGUAACCUGCCCAUAAGAGGGGGAUAACAUCCGGAAACGGGUGCUAAUACCGCAUAGUUUUCUUGAUCGCAUGAUCGGGAAAGGAAAGACGGCCUUUGUGCUGUCGCUUAUGGAUGGACCCGCGGCGUAUUAGUUAGUUGGUGAGGUAACGGCUCACCAAGACGAUGAUACGUAGCCGACCUGAGAGGGUGAUCGGCCACAUUGGGACUGAGACACGGCCCAAACUCCUACGGGAGGCAGCAGUAGGGAAUCUUCCGCAAUGGGCGAAAGCCUGACGGAGCGAACCGCCGCGUGAACGAAGAAGGCCGUGAGGUUGUAAAGUUCUUUUCGGGAGGGGGAACAACCGUGGCAGGGAAUGGCCGCGGGAUGACGUGAAUCCCGGAAUAAGCCCCGGCUAACUACGUGCCAGCAGCCGC
This 510-nucleotide ribosomal RNA is filed under the name uncultured bacterium. RNAcentral describes it as "bacterial SSU rRNA". It matches the Rfam family "Bacterial small subunit ribosomal RNA", at positions 36 to 518 of the family's 1533-position model. The record is from RNAcentral.